RNAcentral lists this unclassified non-coding RNA (2055 nucleotides) under uncultured fungus. RNAcentral describes it as "sequence contains 18S rRNA gene, ITS1, 5.8S rRNA gene, ITS2, 28S rRNA gene". The stretch from base 863 to 2055 matches the Rfam family "Eukaryotic large subunit ribosomal RNA", at positions 1 to 961 of the family's 3401-position model. Lineage: Eukaryota; Fungi. The record is from RNAcentral.
GGAAGGAUCAUUAACACUUUUUUAACCAAAAAAACCACUUAAAAAAACUGUAUACCCCCCCACAUUCACUUGUGGGGAGUAUAUGGACCUUUUUCUCUUACGGAUUCGUUGGUUCUCUCUUCCAAGGGAGCUGAUGCUAUCUGUGAGGAAAGAAGGAACACCCAUCGUGUGAACCUGUUGAAGUACUUAACACUACACUAAUCCUAACAGAUUAUUACGUGUUAUCUAUUUUUUUUUAAACACCUUUAUAAUUAAUAAAAACUUAUAAUCAUACUUGACUGAAAACUGUGUUAUGUGUGUGUGUGCGUGUGCACUUUUUUGUUUUCCUAACAGAAAACCAAAAAAAUGAACACAAACCAUAUAUAUAUCAUAAAAAUCAAAGAUAACCUAAGACAACUUUUAACAACGGAUAUCUUGGUUCUCGCAACGAUGACGAGCGCAGCGAAAUGCGAUACGUAAUGUGAAUUGCAGGAUUCAGUGAAUCAUCGAAACCUUGAACGCAUAUUGCGCUGGUGACUUUAUCACCAGCACGCCUGUUUGAGUAUCGGUUUUCAUUAUCAACAAAACAGAAAAGAACUUGUUUCUCUUCCUGUAUUAUUGUUGGACUAUGGAUGUUUGAGUGUUUUCAGUAACGUUCAAUCGUCUUAAACCUAGAGUUUGGCUCGUUUUUUACGUUUCCAAAUAGCAAAAAACACUUGAUGGUUAUUAGGCAAAAUAAGGUUCUCUCUCGGGGGAGUCUUACUUUUUUCACUACCAUCAACUAACAGUGUCUUCUGCAUUUAAUAUUUGGUUCGUGUGAGCCCUUUACAUCUCUCUGAUGCACUGCAGCAAUGCAACAUAAGAGAAACAAAAAACCUAACCUCGAUCUCAAAUCAGGCGAGACAACCCGCUGAAUUUAAGCAUAUCAAUAAGCGGAGGAGAAGAAACUAACUAGGAUUCCCUCAGUAACGGCGAGUGAAGCGGGAAGAGCUCAAAUUGAAAAUCUUCAGGGAUUAAGUUCCUUGACGAAUUGUAGUUUUGUGACUGGCACUUACGGGGGAGUGGCUUGGGAUGUAAGUCUCCUGGAAAGGAGCGCCCUGGAGGGUGAGAGCCCCGUGUCGUCCCUUGUCCGCUUUCCAACACGUACUGCUAGUUCGCCGAGUCGAGUUGUUUGAGAGUACAGCUCAAAAUGGGUGGUAAAUUUCAUCUAAAGCUAAAUAAUGGCGAGAGACCGAUAGCGAACAAGUACCGUGAGGGAAAGAUGAAAAGAACUUUGAAAAGAGAGUUAAAAGUACUUGAAAUUGUUAAAAGGGAAGCGAUUGGAACCAGUCGAUGCGUGCCGCUCAAUCAGCCGGGAGCGCAGGGCUCGUGGCAGCCAGCGAGGGAUCCUUGGUGGUCUCCGUUUCGGUUGUCACUCUUAGCUCUGUGCGACCGGUGCACUUGGGCGGUAUUUUGCGAGUCAGCGUGGGCUUGCUGCGCAGUAGAAGAGGAGGGGUAAGGUGCCGGGUCGGCUGGCUCAUGCCAGUUUGCUUAUCCGGGUUACAGACCUCUCUGGAUGCUGUGCGGUGAACUGAGGCGCCUCCUGGGCGACGACAAGCGUUCCUUCAUUGGGACUGGAGAAGAAGCGGCGGAUGGGUCUCCUGCCGUGAGUACAGCCUAGCUCGUGCUUGCGGUCAGCGUUGGGUUCUCACGUUCGUUUCUAUUCACAGCCUUGUUCAACGACGCUGACGAAAUGGUUUCAAUCGGCCCGUCUUGAAACACGGACCAAGGAGUCUAACAUGUGUGCGAGUACUUGGGUGGUUCAAACCCGAGCUGCGUAAUGAAAGUAAACCUCUGGAUGGGAAGCGGGUGGGCACGCCCCGGCCCGCGGCACCAUCGGCCGGCCUUGAUAUCUUUGGAUAGGUCUGAGCGAGAGCAUACCUGUUGGGACCCGAAAGAUAGCGAACUAUGCCUGCAUAGGGUGAAGCCAGACGAAAGUCUGGUGGAGGCUCGUAGCGAUACUGACGUGCAAAUCGUUCGUCAAAUGUGGGUAUAGCGGCGAAAGACUAAUCGAGCUGUCUAGUAGCUGGUUUCCUC